CCCUUCGACGUCUGGGGCCGCACGCGUGCUACAGUGGUGGUGGUAACGCGCGUUCCGUGCUCGUAAGGUGUUCGGGAAUCGUCAAGCUCCCCCAUGCCGGGGAUCGCGGCUUGCAAUUGUGCCUCGUGAACCAGGAAUGCCUAGUAGGCGCAAGUCAUCAGCUUGCGUCGAUUACGUCCCUGCCCUUUGUACACACCGCCCGUCGCUCCUACCGAUUGGGUGUGCUGGUGAAAUGUUCGGAUCGGCCGUUUGUCGCGGUUUCCGCGUCAUGUGGCUGAGAAGUUCAUUAAACCCUCCCACCUAGAGGAAGGAGAAGUCGUAACA
This 324-nucleotide ribosomal RNA is filed under the name uncultured eukaryote. RNAcentral's name for it is "partial 18S ribosomal RNA". It matches the Rfam family "Eukaryotic small subunit ribosomal RNA", at positions 1470 to 1796 of the family's 1831-position model. The record is from RNAcentral.